UACGAAGGGGGCUAGCGUUGCUCGGAAUUACUGGGCGUAAAGCGCACGUAGGCGGCUUCUUAAGUCGGAGGUGAAAUCCUGGAGCUCAACUCCAGAACUGCCUUCGAUACUGGGAGCUCGAGUCCGGGAGAGGUGAGUGGAACUGCGAGUGUAGAGGUGAAAUUCGUAGAUAUUCGCAAGAACACCAGUGGCGAAGGCGGCUCACUGGCCCGGUACUGACGCUGAGGUGCGAAAGCGUGGGGAGCAAACAGG
Molecule: ribosomal RNA, 252 nt
Filed under: uncultured bacterium
Lineage: Bacteria
Description: partial 16S ribosomal RNA
Rfam family: Bacterial small subunit ribosomal RNA
Source: RNAcentral